GUAGAAGUGACAGAGCGGUUAAAUGUACUAGACUGUAAAUCUAGCGUUCAGAAAUGAGCUACAUAGGUUCAAAUCCUAUCUUCUACA
This 87-nucleotide transfer RNA is filed under the name Caudoviricetes sp. Its description in RNAcentral is "tRNA-Tyr". It matches the Rfam family "tRNA". From Rfam's summary of the family: Transfer RNA (tRNA) molecules are approximately 80 nucleotides in length. Their secondary structure includes four short double-helical elements and three loops (D, anti-codon, and T loops). Lineage: Duplodnaviria; Heunggongvirae; Uroviricota; Caudoviricetes. The record is from RNAcentral.